CAGCCGUAAACUAUGCGCGUUAGGUGUAUCGGUGACCACGAGUCACCGAGGUGCCGAAGGGAAACCGUGAAACGUGCCGCCUGGGAAGUACGGUCGCAAGGCUGAAACUUAAAGGAAUUGGCGGGGAGCACCACAACGGGUGGAGCCUGCGGUUUAAUUGGACUCAACGCCGGACAACUCACCGGGGACGACAGCAAUAUGUAGGCCAGGCUGAAGACCUUGCCUGAAUCGCUGAGAGGAGGUGCAUGGCGUAGACGUCUU
RNAcentral lists this ribosomal RNA (261 nucleotides) under uncultured archaeon. Its description in RNAcentral is "partial 16S ribosomal RNA". It matches the Rfam family "Archaeal small subunit ribosomal RNA", at positions 748 to 1010 of the family's 1478-position model. The record is from RNAcentral.